UGGGGGAUAUUGCACAAUGGGGGAAACCCUGAUGCAGCGACGCCGCGUGUAGGAAGACGGUCCUCUGGAUUGUAAACUACUGUCUUCGGGGACGAUAAUGACGGUACCCGAGGAGGAAGCUCCGGCUAACUACGUGCCAGCAGCCGCGGUAAUACGGAGGAUCCGAGCGUUAUCCGGAUUUAUUGGGUUUAAAAGGAGCGUAGGCGGAUUAUUAAGUCAGUUGUGAAAGUUUGCGGCUCAACCGUAAAAUUGCAGUUGAUACUGGUAGUCUUGAGUGCAGUAGAGGUGAGCGGAAUUCCUAGUGUAGCGGUGAAAUGCGUAGAUAUUAGGAAGAACACCAGUGGCGAAGGCGGCUUGCUGGACCGUAACUGACGCUGAGUCACGAAAGCGUGGGGAGCGAACA
This 403-nucleotide ribosomal RNA is filed under the name uncultured bacterium. Its description in RNAcentral is "bacterial SSU rRNA". It matches the Rfam family "Bacterial small subunit ribosomal RNA", at positions 355 to 774 of the family's 1533-position model. The record is from RNAcentral.